GGUAUGACACAAGUUGUUAAACCUUUAUUUAUGAGUUUAGACAAUCUUUGUUUUGUGAUGCUAGACAUCUAUAUUUUGCAAACUUAAUAGAAUAAUUUGAAGCAAAAAUAGAAGAACCAAUUUUGUAAAUAGAAUUUAUAUUUUAUUUUGGGAUGGAGCAAUUAUGUAACUAAUUUUCAAUUUAAGCAAUAUUAGAUUCUUGUAAAUCAAACUCUUUGUCAUUAGACUAGAAAGGAAGAAUGAGAAGGACUUCUCAUACUAAGGUUUUUUAACAAAAGUUAAGAAUUACAUUCUCAAGAAUGCAGAUCAUCAAACUGGCAAAUCUAAAAGCUACUGAGCUUAAAACUGAGCUCUCUAUAACCAAGAUGACCUAAGCCAUUUUGAUUUGAUUUGCCAUAAACUAACGAGUAUAAUGAAAUAAACUGUUGGAAUUUAAAGUGGCAUAACUCAAAUCUCAAAUGCUAACAAAAAUAAAUUAAAGGAAAUACAAGAUAACUAGAGACAUAGCU
RNAcentral lists this unclassified non-coding RNA (509 nucleotides) under Hevea brasiliensis (rubber tree). Lineage: Eukaryota; Viridiplantae; Streptophyta; Magnoliopsida; Malpighiales; Euphorbiaceae. The record is from RNAcentral.